This 397-nucleotide ribosomal RNA is filed under the name uncultured bacterium. Its description in RNAcentral is "partial 16S ribosomal RNA". It matches the Rfam family "Bacterial small subunit ribosomal RNA", at positions 523 to 918 of the family's 1533-position model. The record is from RNAcentral.
AUACGUAUGGGGCGAGCGUUGUCCGGAAUGAUUGGGCGUAAAGGGCGCGUAGGCGGCUCGGUAAGUCUGGAGUGAAAGUCCUGUUUUUAAGAUGGGAAUUGCUUUGGAUACUGUCGGGCUUGAGUGCAGGAGAGGUAAGUGGAAUUCCAAGUGUAGCGGUGAAAUGCGUAGAGAUUGGGAGGAACACCAGUGGCGAAGGCGACUUACUGGACUGUAACUGACGUUGAGGCGCGAAAGUGUGGGGAGCAAACAGGAUUAGAUACCCUGGUAGUCCACACUGUAAACGAUGAAUGCUAGGUGUAGGGGGUAUCGACCCCUUCUGUGCCGCAGUCAACACAAUAAGCAUUCCGCCUGGGGAGUACGGCCGCAAGGUUGAAACUCAAAUGAAUUGACGGGG